CACUCAAACUCUAGUCUGCACGCCCGCUGAGUCCAGCAUCGGUGAUGCGGGUGAUGCAGCGCUGACAGUACAACUAGAUGUAAACAGUACUUGCGAGGAUGCGAUCCUGUCGGCGCCGAAAUCAGAGCAAUCAACUGGCAAAGACGAUCCUCAGAAGCCUGGAUUGACCAGGAGGGGGUCCCAAAAAAAAGUAACACACGUUCCUACCGUUGCAAGUGUCCCACAAUGAUAUAGUUACUCCGAUCAAAUGACAACGGCUGGUACAUAAAUCAGUGCAGGGCGAUGGAAGUAGCAAUAGAGAAAGUGAUGCCAGACACGACUCACCGUUGAUGCUAGUGGCACGUGCAAUUGGUCAUUUCAUGGGGCUAAAAGCUCCAGAACGAAAACAAAAGCCUGGUCGACCAAUCACCAGCAGGAGAGUUAUUUGCCCAAAACC
Long non-coding RNA from Triticum dicoccoides, 436 nucleotides. RefSeq lists it as uncharacterized. NCBI's taxonomy places the organism in Eukaryota, Viridiplantae, Streptophyta, Magnoliopsida, Poales, Poaceae. The transcript is spliced from 3 exons. The record is from RefSeq and is a predicted model, not a curated record.